CCUACGGGCGGCAGCAGUGAGGAAUAUUGGUCAAUGGACGAGAGUCUGAACCAGCCAAGUAGCGUGAAGGAUGACUGCCCUAUGGGUUGUAAACUUCUUUUAUAAAGGAAUAAAACGAGGCACGUGUGCCCUUUUGCAUGUACUUUAUGAAUAAGGAUCGGCUAACUCCGUUCCAGCAGCCGCGGUAAUACGGAGGAUCCGAGCGUUUUCCGGAUUUAUUGGGUUUUAAGGGUGCGCAGGCGGAUUUUUAAGUCAGCGGUAAAAUCUUGGGGCUCAACCCCAUCCAGCCGUUGAAACGGGGGAUCUAGAGUGUGCGAGAGGUAUGCGGAAUGCGUGGUGUAGCGGUGAAAUGCAUAGAUAUCACGCAGAACGCCGAUUGCGAAGGCAGCAUACCGGUGCACAACUGACGCUCAGGCACGAAAGCGUGGGUAUCGAACAGGAUUAGAUACCCCAGUAGUC
RNAcentral lists this ribosomal RNA (459 nucleotides) under uncultured bacterium. RNAcentral describes it as "partial 16S ribosomal RNA". It matches the Rfam family "Bacterial small subunit ribosomal RNA", at positions 338 to 795 of the family's 1533-position model. The record is from RNAcentral.